Molecule: ribosomal RNA, 492 nt
Filed under: uncultured bacterium
Lineage: Bacteria
Description: partial 16S ribosomal RNA
Rfam family: Bacterial small subunit ribosomal RNA
Source: RNAcentral
AGUGAACGCUGGCGGUAGGCCUAACACAUGCAAGUCGAACGGCAGCACAGUAAGAGCUUGCUCUUACGGUUGGCGAGUGGCGGACGGGUGAGGAAUACAUCGGAAUCUACUUUUUCGUGGGGGAUAACGUAGGGAAACUUACGCUAAUACCGCAUACGACCUACGGGUGAAAGCAGGGGAUCUUCGGACCUUGCGCGACUGAAUUAGCCGAUGUCGGAUUAGCUAGUUGGCGGGGUAAAGGCCCACCAAGGCGACGAUCCGUAGCUGGCCUGAGAGGAUGAUCAGCCACACUGGAACUGAGACACGGUCCAGACUCCUACGGGAGGCAGCAGUGGGGAAUAUUGGACAAUGGGCGCAAGCCUGAUCCAGCCAUACCGCGUGGGUGAAGAAGGCCUUCGGGUUGUAAAGCCCUUUUGUUGGGAAAGAAAAGCAGCAGGUUAAUACCCCGCUGUUCUGACGGUACCCAAAGAAUAAGCACCGGCUAACUUCGUG